UCCGAGUUGUCCCCGGCAGUCCUUUUAGAGUCCCCGGCAUUACCCGCUGGCAACUAAAAGCAGGGGUUGCGCUCGUUGCGGCACUUAAGCCAACACCUCACGGCACGAGCUGACGACAGCCAUGCAGCACCUUGCUACCUGCCCGAAGGAAACCCCCUUUCAGGGGCUGUCAGGUAGCAUUCGAGCCUGGGUAAGGUUCUUCGCGUUGCAUCGAAUUAAAGAACAUGCUCCGCUGCUUGUGCGGGCCCCCGUCAAUUCUUUUGAGUUUUAAUCUUGCGACCGUACUCCCCAGGCGGUCAACUUAUCGCGUUAGCUGCGCCACCAAGCACACUAAGGUGCCCAACGGCUAGUUGACAUCGUUUACGGCGUGGACUAC
Molecule: unclassified non-coding RNA, 376 nt
Filed under: uncultured bacterium
Lineage: Bacteria
Description: contains 16S-23S intergenic spacer region
Source: RNAcentral